CGCCAAACAGCUAGCUCACCUUAACAACAUCAACACACCCCUAUUUAUAACCCUAAACUAUCCCUUUACUCAUCAACCAAACCAUUUUCCCCCCUAAGUACGGGCGACGAAAAAGGAUCCAGAAGCAAUAGAGAAAGUACCGCAAGGGAAAGCUGAAAGAGAAAUGAAACAACUCAGCAAAGCACUAAAAAGCAGAGAUUCCUCCUCGUACCUUUUGCAUCAUGAUUUAGUAAGAAACCCUUAAGCAAAGUGAACUAUAGUUUAAUUCCCCGAAACUAAGUGAGCUACUCCAAGCCAGCCUAAUAUAGGGCAACCCCGUCUCUGUGGCAAAAGAGUGGGAUGAGCUUCGAGUAGCGGUGACAGACCUACCGAACUUAGUUAUAGCUGGUUGCCUGAGAACUGAAUAGAAGUUCAGCCCUUUAAAUUCUUCCCUCAACUAUAGGCCCACCGCCUAUUCCAGAAAAUAAGAAGUUAAAGGAGUUAGUCAAAGGGGGUACAGCCCCUUUGAAACAAGACACAACUUUCCCAGUAGGAUAAAGAUCAUAUGAGCCCCAAGGUAUAUGCCCCCGUGGGCCUAAAAGCAGCCACCAAGACAGAAAGCGUUAAAGCUCGAGCAUUCAAUACUUACCCCCAAUACCGAUAAUAACAUCUUAAUCCGCUACUCUUACCAGGCUAUUCCACAACACCUGUGGAAGCAACUAUGCUAAUAUGAGUAAUAAGAGAGCUUUCGCCUCUCUCCCAGCACACACGUACAUCGGAACGAACCCCCACCGAAAAUUAACGCCCCCAAAUACAAGAGGGGACUGGAUAAAAAAUAAACAACCAGAAAACCAUCCAACCACCCACCGUUACCCCCACACUGGUGUGCCUCAAGGGAAAGACUAAAAGAAAAAGAAGGAACUCGGCAAACACAAGCCUCGCCUGUUUACCAAAAACAUCGCCUCUUGACACACCCAUAUAAGAGGUCCCGCCUGCCCAGUGACUAUAAGUUCAACGGCCGCGGUAUUUUGACCGUGCAAAGGUAGCGCAAUCACUUGUCUUUUAAAUGAAGACCUGUAUGAAUGGCACCACGAGGGCUUAACUGUCUCCUUUUUCCUGUCAAUGAAAUUGAUCUCCCCGUGCAGAAGCGGGGNUUUUAACAUAAGACGAGAAGACCCUAUGGAGCUUCAGGCUCCAGAACAGACUAUGUUAAACACCCUUCCACAAAAGACAAAACUUAUUAGGCCCUGUUCCAAUGCCUUUGGUUGGGGCGACCGCGGGGAAACGAAAAACCCCCAUACGGACCGGGAGCAUCACUCCUCCCACAACCCAGAGCAACACCUCUAAGUAACAGUACAUCUGACCAAUAAAUGAUCCGGCACAGCCGAUCAACGGACCGAGUUACCCUAGGGAUAACAGCGCAAUCCCCUUCUAGAGCCCAUAUCGACAAGGGGGUUUACGACCUCGAUGUUGGAUCAGGACAUCCUAUUGGUGCAGCCGCUAUUAAGGGUUCGUUUGUUCAACGAUUAAAGUCCUACGUGAUCUGAGUUCAGACCGGAGUAAUCCAGGUCAGUUUCUAUCUAUGACAUGAUCUUUUCUAGUACGAAAGGACCGAAAAGAAGAGGCCCAUGUUCAAAACACGCCUCCCCCUUACCUAAUGAAACCAACUAAAAUAGGCAAAAGGGCAUGCACCCUUUAGCUUAAGAGAAUAGCCU
This 1694-nucleotide ribosomal RNA is filed under the name Cichlasoma dimerus. RNAcentral's name for it is "16S ribosomal RNA". It matches the Rfam family "Bacterial large subunit ribosomal RNA". The record is from RNAcentral. Lineage: Eukaryota; Metazoa; Chordata; Actinopteri; Cichliformes; Cichlidae.